GGUGCGGUGAGUCUCAACAACUUGGAAACAGCACGAGGGUCACGUAACAGACAAGGUAGACAAGGCAAGGAAUACAAAUAUUUCACUUUAUUUUUUUAUUGUGAAAAGUUUUCAUAACAUUACUGUGACUCACCACGACCCCGAAGCAGCACGAGAGUUGUGUAACAGACUAGGUGCGGCGAGUCACAACAAACCCCACUUGGAUACAGCACGAGAGUUGUGUAACAGACUAGGUGAGUGAAAGGAAAUACAGUGGUGUUGCUGCCACCACCCACUGUCAUCCCACGGUGCCAUACAGAGGUGGAGGCCCUAGAUGAGGAAACUCUGUCUGCCUGCUCAGAGAACGCUUUGGGGCAGGAAGAGGAACUUCUUCCUCCCCCUGAGCCUAGGGCCUCCACCUCAAGGUCAAGCCAAAGACAUGGGGUUGGAGCAGACAAUGUGAGGGCCCUCUACAAGAGGACCCUGGAGCUCUAUAUUGAGCAUAAGACUCUAUUAAUAAAAAAAAACAAGGCUGGAGAUUGAGAAACUUCAGUAUGAGAAGAAGGAAAGGGAGAACGCAUGAGGAGGAUGCAUUUUGUUUUCUAUGUUUUUGACUUUUUAUACCUUUUUUGUGGCUUGUCCCCAAAGAGUUCUUUUGUGCCAUAGUCCUUUGAGGGGGUUUUCAACAUUUCUUU
Osmerus eperlanus (European smelt) is the source of this 674-nucleotide long non-coding RNA. RefSeq lists it as uncharacterized. The record is from RefSeq and is a predicted model, not a curated record. The transcript has 6 exons. Lineage: Eukaryota; Metazoa; Chordata; Actinopteri; Osmeriformes; Osmeridae.